ACUCAAAUGAAUUGACGGGGACUCGCACAAGCAGUGGAGCAUGUGGUUUAAUCCGAUACAACGCGUAGAACCUUACCAAGGCUUGACAUGUUUGGCAAAACUAGGGAAACCUAGCGGAGGUUAUCCAAACACAGGUGCUGCAUGGCCGUCGUCAGUUCGUGCCGUGAGGUGUAUGGUUAAGUCCUAUAACGAACGCAACCCUUGGACUUAGUUGCCAGCAUUCAGUUGGGGACUCUAGGUCGACUGCCUGAGUAAUCAGGAGGAAGGGAAGGAUGAUGUCUGGUCGUCAUGGCCCUUAUGCCUUGGGCGACACACGUGCUACAAUGGUUAACACAAAGGGAUUUCAAUGCCAACCCGCGAGGGGGAGCUAAGCCCAAAAAAUUAACCUCAGUUCGGAUUGGAGGCUGCAACUCGCCUCCAUGAAGUUGGAAUUGCUAGUAAUCGCAAAUCAGCCAUGUUGCGGUGAAUACGUUCUCGAGUCUUGUACACACCGCCCGU
Molecule: ribosomal RNA, 498 nt
Filed under: uncultured bacterium
Lineage: Bacteria
Description: partial 16S ribosomal RNA
Rfam family: Bacterial small subunit ribosomal RNA
Source: RNAcentral